GACGAACGCUGGCGGCGUGCUUAACACAUGCAAGUCGAACGGAAAGGCCCUGCAUUUGUGGGGUGCUCGAGUGGCGAACGGGUGAGUAACACGUGAGUAACAUGCCCUUGACUUUGGGAUAACUUCAGGAAACUGGGGCUAAUACAGGAUAGGAGCUCCUGCUGCAUGGUGGGGGUUGGAAAGUUUCGGCGGUUGGGGAUGGACUCGCGGCUUAUCAGCUUGUUGGUGGGGUAGUGGCUUACCAAGGCAUUGACGGGUAGCCGGCCUGAGAGGGUGACCGGCCACAUUGGGACUGAGAUACGGCCCAGACUCCUACGGGAGGCAUCAGUGGGGAAUAUUGCACAAUGGGCGGAAGCCUUAUGCAGCAACGCCGCGUGCUGGAUGACGGCCUUCGGGUUGUAAACCGCUUUCGCCUGUGACGAAGCGUGAGUGACGGUAAUGGGUAAAGAAGCACCGGCUAACUACGUG
This 468-nucleotide ribosomal RNA is filed under the name uncultured bacterium. RNAcentral's name for it is "partial 16S ribosomal RNA". It matches the Rfam family "Bacterial small subunit ribosomal RNA", at positions 28 to 507 of the family's 1533-position model. The record is from RNAcentral.